GACAGAGGUGGCAAGCGUUGUUCGGAAUUACUGGGCUUAAAGGGCGAGUAGGCGGUGGAACAAGUCUGAUGUGGAAUCCUAUGGCUUAACCAUAGAACUGCCUUAGAAACUGUUUUACUUGAGUCAGUGAGGGGAGGGCGGAAUUCCUGGUGUAGCGGUGAAAUGCGUAGAUAUCAGGAGGAAGGCCUGUGGCGAAGGCGGCCCUCUGGCACUGUACUGACGCUGAGGCGCGAAAGCGUGGGGAGCAAACAGG
This 253-nucleotide ribosomal RNA is filed under the name uncultured bacterium. RNAcentral describes it as "partial 16S ribosomal RNA". It matches the Rfam family "Bacterial small subunit ribosomal RNA", at positions 524 to 776 of the family's 1533-position model. The record is from RNAcentral.